This 332-nucleotide ribosomal RNA is filed under the name uncultured bacterium. RNAcentral's name for it is "bacterial SSU rRNA". It matches the Rfam family "Bacterial small subunit ribosomal RNA", at positions 568 to 898 of the family's 1533-position model. The record is from RNAcentral.
CGUGUAGGUGGCUAAGUAAGUCAGGUGUGAAAUCCUUCCGCUUAACGGAAGAAGUGCACUUGAAACUGCUUAGCUAGAGUACAGGAGAGGAAGGUGGAAUUCCUGGUGUAGAGGUGAAAUUCAUAGAUAUCGGGAAGAACACCGGUGGCGAAGGCGGCCUUCUGGCCUGAUACUGACGCUGAGACGCGAAAGCGUGGGGAGCAAACAGGAUUAGAUACCCUGGUAGUCCACGCCGUAAACGUUGGGCACUAGGUGUGGGAGGUUUUUAUUCCUUCUUUGCCGAAGCUAACGCAUUAAGUGCCCCGCCUGGGGAGUACGGUCGCAAGGCUAAA